UACGAAGGGGGCUAGCGUUGUUCGGAUUUACUGGGCGUAAAGCGCACGUAGGCGGAUUGGUCAGUUAGGGGUGAAAUCCUGGAGCUCAACUCCAGAACUGCCUUUAAUACUGCCAGUCUCGAGUCCGGAAGAGGUAAGUGGAACUCCUAGUGUAGAGGUGGAAUUCGUAGAUAUUAGGAAGAACACCGGUGGCGAAGGCGGCAUCCUGGACCAACACUGACGCUGAGGAGCGAAAGCCAGGGGAGCAAACGGGG
This 254-nucleotide ribosomal RNA is filed under the name uncultured bacterium. Its description in RNAcentral is "partial 16S ribosomal RNA". It matches the Rfam family "Bacterial small subunit ribosomal RNA", at positions 524 to 777 of the family's 1533-position model. The record is from RNAcentral.